This 987-nucleotide unclassified non-coding RNA is filed under the name Hevea brasiliensis (rubber tree). Lineage: Eukaryota; Viridiplantae; Streptophyta; Magnoliopsida; Malpighiales; Euphorbiaceae. The record is from RNAcentral.
GUUCUGAUUCGGAAAUUUUUUCUCUAUCUGGGUUCCUUUUUCUACCGUCAAAUACUCAAUUGAACUAAUUAGAAAACCAUAUAUUCGGUUUAUGUCUCUUUCUAUUCACUACCUCUUCAUCAUUUUCUAGCUUAUUCUCUUUCUCUCUCUACAACUUUUUCUUCUUCUUCUGGGUUUUGAUUCUGACUGCAAGAUGAAGAAAUUUAUCUUGAAUUUGGAGGUGCAUGAUGUAAGAGACAAGCGCAAGGCCUUGAAGACGGUCUCUGCUCUUCCAGGAAUUGAUGAAAUCUCAAUGGAUAUGAAAGGUAAGAAAUUAACCAUCAUCGGAACAGUUGAUCCAGUGAGUGUAGUGAGCAAACUUCGGAAAUUUUGGCCAGCACACAUAAUCUCAGUAGGACCAGCGAAAGAGCCAGAGAAGAAAGAGGAACCAAAGAAAGAAGAGGCCAAGAAAGAGGAGGCUAAGAAGGAGGGCGAGGGCAAGAAAGAAGACGCUCCGAAGGAGGAAGGUAAGAAAGAGGAGGGUAAGAAGGAAGAAGAAGGUAAGAAGGAUGAAAAUAAGAAAGACGAGCCCAAAAAGGACGGAGAGAAGAAGGCAGAACCACAGCCACAGCCACAGCCAAUGCCGAUGCCUAUGCCAUUCCCACAUCAUCAAGGCUAUAAUCAAUCCGUGGUUGGCAUGGUACCUUAUCGGCCAUACUAUCCUCCUCCUCCUCAUAUGCAAGCUAUGCCCUAUCGUCCAUAUUAUCCUCCUCCCGCGCAAACAUACUACCAGGUUCAUCACAGCAUGGAAGAGAAUCCUAAUUCAUGUGUUAUCUGUUAAAUUGGUUCGGAGAACGAAAUGGGAUCAUAUAUAUUAUAUAUACAUAGCUCUCCGUUCUUCUUGUUUCGAGUUGGUCUAGGGUUAUAAUCUAUUACCAUGAACCGAGACUAGCAUUCAAGAACAGAGAAAAUCCAUUGUGAAUACACAAUGAUCAUGUCAUCAUAUUU